This 73-nucleotide transfer RNA is filed under the name Blumeria hordei DH14. RNAcentral describes it as "tRNA-Lys (CTT) (tRNA-Lys-CTT-1 1 to 11)". It matches the Rfam family "tRNA". From Rfam's summary of the family: Transfer RNA (tRNA) molecules are approximately 80 nucleotides in length. RNAcentral also lists the same sequence under 4 other names. Lineage: Eukaryota; Fungi; Ascomycota; Leotiomycetes; Helotiales; Erysiphaceae. The record is from RNAcentral.
GCCCGGGUAGCUCAAUCGGUAGAGCGUGUGGCUCUUAACCUCAAGGUCGCGGGUUCGAGCCCCGCCUCGGGCU